UGACUACCCUCCUCCCACCCACCCCCCAUGUCCCUGUUCUGAUGUUUUCUGCAGCCAUGAACAAAGUUUCUUCGGAUCAUAAAUUGUCCCCUGAAGAAAGGCUGAACCCCAGGCCCUCCUCCAGUGCCCUGUUUUUUUUAACCUGUUCCCAGCAGCCGUCCUUACCUGAUCAUUUGCUGGUGGUGGUGAUGGUGCUUCAUAGUCCAAGAAAUCUUCGGUCUGGAACCUGCAAAAAAAAAAUGCACUCAGAUUUGGCCAGUAUAAACCAGUGCUGUGGAUGAGUAAUGGGGUCCCCCGUGGGCUUUAAGAUGUGGCCUUCAACGUGCACUUUGCACAAGACAUACAAUUAGCCCACUAAGCUAAAGUCCAAGGUCCUCAGCUCAGGAAUCUAAUUACAUUCUUACUUCUUCUUUAAAGCUGACUGUACAUUCUGUGGCACAGUGGUGCACAGACGUAGUCUGAAUACCCUCUUGUGUACUGUGUUUUGUUACAGCCAGUCUCUAUGUAAGACCAGGUUGAAGAAAAUGUGUUAAAGAAAGCUGAGUGGCUUGUCCUGUUAAGGCACUUGUAUGUGGAUGGACCCCAUGUUCCAGUACUGAAUUCAGGUCAUUCUAGUGUAGAGAGUGGCCUGCAGCCCCAUCAGGAUGAUGCACAAUUUUCAUCACAGGUGUCAGAUGAUGACUGCUGAUGCCAUCUUUCUGAUGUGUUCCUAUAACAUGCCAGAUGCAUUGGAGGUCAGGCAAUAGUGUCCCAGUUUUCCUCUGUCAGUUCUGGGUCUUCUGCUUCUUCAAUUCCCCCUGGUUUAUGACACUGGCCACCUGGUGAGAGGAAUCAGAAGUUGCGCUGAGGCAA
Anguilla rostrata (American eel) is the source of this 852-nucleotide long non-coding RNA. RefSeq lists it as uncharacterized. The transcript is spliced from 3 exons. Lineage: Eukaryota; Metazoa; Chordata; Actinopteri; Anguilliformes; Anguillidae. The record is from RefSeq and is a predicted model, not a curated record.